This 492-nucleotide ribosomal RNA is filed under the name uncultured archaeon. RNAcentral's name for it is "bacterial SSU rRNA". It matches the Rfam family "Archaeal small subunit ribosomal RNA", at positions 385 to 879 of the family's 1478-position model. The record is from RNAcentral.
GUGAUUCCUGCUAAAGGAAUCUUUUGCUUGUCCUAAAAGCACAGGUGAAUAAGGGGUGGGCAAGUCUGGUGUCAGCCGCCGCGGUAAUACCAGCACCUCGAGUGGUCAGGACGUUUAUUGGGCCUAAAGCAUCCGUAGCCGGCUCUGCAAGUCUUCGGUUAAAUCCACCUGCUCAACAGAUGGGCCGCUGGAGAUACUACAGAGCUAGGGAGUGGGAGAGGCAGACGGUAUUCAGUGGGUAGGGGUAAAAUCCUCUGAUCCAUCGAGGACCACCAGUGGCGAAGGCGGUCUGCCAGAACACGUUCGACGGUGAGGGAUGAAAGCUGGGGGAGCAAACCGGAUUAGAUACCCGGGUAGUCCCAGCUGUAAACGAUGCAAACUCGGUGAUGCGUUGGUUUAUGGCCAAUGCAGUGCCGCAGGGAAGCCGUUAAGUUUGCCGCCUGGGAAGUACGGACGCAAGUCUGAAACUUAAAGGAAUUGGCGGGGGAGCAC